RNAcentral lists this small nucleolar RNA (98 nucleotides) under Mus pahari (shrew mouse). Its description in RNAcentral is "snoRNA (MGP_PahariEiJ_G0034491.1)". The record is from RNAcentral. Lineage: Eukaryota; Metazoa; Chordata; Mammalia; Rodentia; Muridae.
UGUUUCAUGGUGGUGAACAUGACGUUCUUGUUGUUGUUGUUGUUGUUGUUGUUGUUGUUUCCGAGAUAGGCUUCUUGAGGGGUCAGAAAUAGGAAGUU